Long non-coding RNA from Gavialis gangeticus (Gharial), 599 nucleotides. RefSeq lists it as uncharacterized. NCBI's taxonomy places the organism in Eukaryota, Metazoa, Chordata, Crocodylia, Gavialidae. The transcript has 4 exons. The record is from RefSeq and is a predicted model, not a curated record.
AAAAAUGCUGACUCAUGAAUGUUGGAAUAUAGUUUGCCCAGUCAGGGGGAUUAUAUGUUCAACUUUCCAAGAGCAUAAGGCCCUGCCUGACUUACAUUAAAGGGAUCAGAUUGUAUCUUCCUUUGGCUUUAUUAUAGAGAACAAGAUACAUUUGGAUGCAAACAGUGUCAAACUUCUUGUUAACCUUCUCAGAAAAAGUAGAUUGGAUUGAUUCCAAGCCAAGGAAGGGAACAAAACUGAAGCCAAGAAAACAGAGGAAGUUGGCCUGUAUCACACACCGCAGAUAACAUGCAACCCACCAAAGGCAUUUUCUUUUGGUGGUUGUUUCUGCAUAAAUAAGUGGAACUGAGCUAAACUCUUGCUAUGUGUUCUGCUUUGGGUCAGCAACGUUGUGCCUAUCAACUCAUCGUCACUAUUAUCAGUGCUGACAGUGUUUUAGCUACUGUACACAUGUACCAGAGGGCACAACCCCUUUCCAUUUACUAGCAGAACAAAAUACUUAUGAGAAGAAGAAAUGAAUGUGCUUCUCUAUGGCAGUUUUCAUGAGAAUGGCAUCUCAAAGUACUUUACAAAGCGAUGAGAGAGAGAGAUAAUACAAU